This 494-nucleotide ribosomal RNA is filed under the name uncultured bacterium. RNAcentral describes it as "partial 16S ribosomal RNA". It matches the Rfam family "Bacterial small subunit ribosomal RNA", at positions 28 to 507 of the family's 1533-position model. The record is from RNAcentral.
GACGAACGCUGGCGGCGUGCUUAACACAUGCAAGUCGAACGGUGAAGCGCCUUCCUUUUUGGUGGGUGUGGAUGAGUGGCGAACGGGUGAGUAACACGUGAGUAACCUGCCCCCUUCUUCUGGAUAACCGCAUGAAAGUGUGGCUAAUACGGGAUAUUCUGGGUCUGUCGCAUGAUGGGUCUGGGAAAGAUAUUGUUUCGGUGGGGGAUGGGCUCGCGGCCUAUCAGCUUGUUGGUGGGGUGAUGGCCUACCAAGGCGGUGACGGGUAGCCGGCCUGAGAGGGUGGGCGGUCACACUGGGACUGCGCCACGGCCCAGCCUCCUACGGGAGGCAGCAGUGGGGAAUAUUGCACAAUGGGAGCAAGCCUGAUGCAGCGACGCCGCGUGAGGGAUGGAGGCCUUCGGGUUGUGAACCUCUUUCGCCAGUGAAGCAGGCCUGCCUCGUUUGUGGGUGGGUUGACGGUAGCUGGAUAAGAAGCGCCGGCUAACUACGUG